AACGAACGCUGGCGGCAGGCCUAACACAUGCAAGUCGAGCGGACCCUUCGGGGUUAGCGGCGGACGGGUGAGUAACGCGUGGGAAUAUGCCCUUCUCUACGGAAUAGUCCUGGGAAACUGGGGGUAAUACCGUAUACGCCCUUUGGGGGAAAGAUUUAUCGGGGAAGGAUUAGCCCGCGUUGGAUUAGGUAGUUGGUGGGGUAAUGGCCUACCAAGCCGACGAUCCAUAGCUGGUUUGAGAGGGUGAUCAGCCACACUGGGACUGAGACACGGCCCAGACUCCUACGGGAGGCAGCAGUGGGGAAUCUUAGACAAUGGGGGCAACCCUGAUCUAGCCAUGCCGCGUGAGUGAUGAAGGCCUUAGGGUUGUAAAGCUCUUUCAGCUGGGAAGAUAAUGACGGUACCAGCAGAAGAAGCCCCGGCUAACUCCGUG
RNAcentral lists this ribosomal RNA (433 nucleotides) under uncultured bacterium. RNAcentral's name for it is "partial 16S ribosomal RNA". It matches the Rfam family "Bacterial small subunit ribosomal RNA", at positions 29 to 507 of the family's 1533-position model. The record is from RNAcentral.